This is a long non-coding RNA of Vespula pensylvanica (western yellowjacket), 1299 nucleotides long. RefSeq lists it as uncharacterized. Lineage: Eukaryota; Metazoa; Arthropoda; Insecta; Hymenoptera; Vespidae. The record is from RefSeq and is a predicted model, not a curated record. The transcript is spliced from 3 exons.
UAUAUUAUAACAAUCAUGUAACAACGAUAAGUUUACUGUUUAAUUCAACUGUUUCAGUGAUAUGGGAUUAUAUCAAAUAAUAACUACAAAUACAAAGUUUUGAUAGAACAUGAUUUAGAAAUUAAUAUAAAUUGAAAUAUAAUUAAAAAUAUCUAUGCCGAAGAUGUUUAAUGCUGAGUUAGAAUCUGCUGGUAAAAAAUUUUUAAAUGAUUUUUUUAAGUUACAAGAUUCGUAAAGGUCUAUACAUCAUUUCAGAAAUGUUUCUUGUUCGAUGUACCAAACAUAUUUCUGUGGAACAAAUUCAAUCAUAGACAAUUAAUAAAGUUGAAACUAAAGUUAAUUAUAAUAUUAACACCUGUAACUUGAAUUUCAAAGUUAAUAUACAAAUGCGAUGUACUAUAAUGAAUUAGAAACUCAUGUACGACUUAGUAAACACAGACAGAAAGCUGACCAAAAGCUAAAUAAUACAUGAUUAAUUGUGCGUCAUUGAUCAUUAAAAUCUAACGAAUUCAAAAGCAGAAACAAAACGCAAAAUGAUUAGAAUCACCGGAAGAGAAAAAGAUUGGAUGAAAAUUAAAAUGAAGAGGAGGAGAAGAAGGAAAAAGAAGUGUAACAAGAAAUUGAAAAAGCAACAGAAAAAGGUUAUAUAUAUUUUUAAAUUUACAAUUUUUAUCUGAUAAUUAUUAUUAUACUAUUUUAGCUGGUUCUGAAAAUGAAAGUAGUCCGCAUACAUCAUUUAAAUCAUCUCUCGUGCUUUCAGCGUAAUUUCGUCUUCAUUUAUCGGUAUCUUCUAAAUCUAGUUUGAAAUCCACAUCACAUUCUCGUUCGAUAUAUAAAUUCGUUUCAUCCUUCUCGCUCGUAAUCAAAUUCAAAUUAUCCAUCUAAAUCACACAAUAAAUCGAAAUCAAGAUCUGAAUCACCUCAAUCGAGAAAUUCUUCUAAAUCAAAAUAAGUAUCAAGAUCUCGAUUUGGUUCUCCUGCCAAAUGACGGUCACGAUCGUAGUCGAAUCUAUAUCGAGGUUACAAUUUUGUUUAAGACCAAGGUUUUGGAGUGGAAGUGGCAGUGUUUCUGUUAACGAUAGUGUAGAAAGUAGUUUCGAAAACGAAUAAAAUAGCAGUACAUCAGAAAGUUCAUAUAAAUUAUGUUAUGAAAUAUUUUUGUAGAAAUGUUUAACUUUCAACACAUUUCCUAACACAUGUAAAAUUGUAUAUAACUUACCAAAGAAACAUAUAAAAAGUAAUAAGAUAGUUAUAAUUUCUAUAAGGAUAAUAAUAUCUAAGAAGUUUGAGAAUUUUAUU